GGGGUUGUGGCUCAGAGGUAGAGCGCUCGCCUGGCAUGUGUGGGGCACUGGGUUCCAUCCUCAGCACCACA
Molecule: transfer RNA, 71 nt
Filed under: Marmota monax (woodchuck)
Lineage: Eukaryota; Metazoa; Chordata; Mammalia; Rodentia; Sciuridae
Description: tRNA.Ala
Rfam family: tRNA
About the family: Transfer RNA (tRNA) molecules are approximately 80 nucleotides in length.
Source: RNAcentral